GGGGGCUGUGGGCCUUGGCGUGAGGGGGAAGAGGCUGCCGGCUCGGUGUGGGGAGGGCUCACUGGCCCUGUGCCCCUGUCCAGACUGGGGACAGCCGGCAGGAAUGGUGGGUUACGACCCCGAGGCCAAGUGCGUGUCCACGGCGGAGGCGGCUGCAGCGGGGUCAGCGUCUGGCUUGGUGACUCGGGUCCUUGUCAGCCCCUUGGAUGUCCUCAAGAUCCGCUUUCAGCUUCAGAUCGAGCAGCUUUCCUCCAGAAACCCCACAGCCAAGUACCACGGCAUCCUGCAAGCUGUGCAGCGCAUCUUCAGGGAGGAGGGCUUGACAGCCUUCUGGAAGGGCCAUGUUCCUGCUCAGUUCCUCUCUGUUGGCUUCGGAGCUGUUCAGUUCAUGGCAUUUGAGAGCCUGACAGAAAUGGUGCACAACGUCACCUCCUUCAACACCCGCGACUCCUUCGUGCACCUGGUGUGCGGGGGCCUGGCUGCCUGCACGGCCACGGUCGCAGUCCAGCCCGUGGACACGCUGCGCACUCGCUUCGCUGCUCAGGGGGAGCCAAAGAUCUACCCCAACCUUCGCCAUGCAGUGAUGACCAUGUACCAGACAGAAGGRCCUCGGACUUUUUACAGAGGUUUAACCCCCACACUCGUUGCUAUCUUCCCAUAUGCUGGUCUCCAGUUCUUCUUCUACAACAUCCUGCAGCAGUUUUCCAAAUGGGUGAUUCCAGCUGAAGGAACGAACGGAGGCAAUGUUAAAAACCUUGUUUGUGGCAGCUGUGCUGGAGUCAUCAGCAAAACCCUCACGUACCCUUUGGAUCUGGUCAAAAAGCGACUGCAAGUGGGUGGCUUUGAGCACGCUCGGGCAGCCUUUGGGCAGGUACGGACAUACRGAGGUUUCUUGGACUGUAUGAGGCAGAUCAUGCGAGAGGAAGGCCCAGGUGGGUUCUUCAAGGGSCUCUCUCCCAGCGUGCUGAAGGCUGCCUGCUCCACCGGCCUUGUCUUCUUUUGGUACGAGCUGUUCUGCAGCCUCCUGUGYGCCCUGAAGGACCCCGAGAGCACAGGGAGGAAGGAAGGCUGAAAAGGACGUGUGUGGCUGCCUGCUGUYCUCCUCAGGAGGGGAGACUGAUGGCCCUGCUCUGGCACGAGCGUGUUGGAAACAGCAGAGCUCCCAGAGCUGCCCCAGCCUGCRGGGAAUCACCUCCUGGGACCAAGGAGAAGGAAACUGCAGUUCUGCUGGAGACACUGAGCUGCUUGGCUGGAAGCUGUUCAACAGAGCGCUUUUCUUCUGUCUCCUCUCAUAUCAGUGCGCAUUUAGUGGGGAGAGGGGAACCAACAGACCACUUGUAGCAAUGCCUGUGCUCUGACAAGGCACCCAGUAAAGAGGGUGAAUCCCUGAGCUUGCCCUGGAUCCCAGAGAGGGGAUCCUGGCCCAGCCUAGUGCUGUUUAACCAACCAAACACCACUUCUAGCACUGCAUCUGCACAGCUUUAUUCCCUUGCUCUGUGCCUGCUGUUGGCACCAGAUUCUUAUCUCUGUGUUCUACAGGUCRCUCUGUCCUGCUGAUGUGAAGUCAAGUAAAGCCACGUUAGUGCACAGACCCUCAGUUUUCCUUUGCUUUGCUGCCAGCUGCUGCUCCUUGGUCACCACUUGCUGGCUGUGCAUUCUGUCAUCUUAAACACAGCAUUUUCUCUGAUCGUGCUGGACCAGAUUUGUUCUUCCCUUAACUCCAGUGAGCUUGAUCRUAUCUUGAAUUCCUAUUUCUCUUCCUGGGUGUUGGGCCAUACAUCUCUUAGGGGUUUGCAUUGCCUCACUCACACUUUUUCCAAGCAAACCUGCAGAUUAAGMGCCCCACUCUGAGGGGAUUCAACGCACAAACCCAGUUAUUACUUCAGGGUUCUUUUCUUUAMAGCAGUGAGCAAACAAAUGCUGUAUAGAGUUAAGAAAUAUUUAGUCUAAGUUGAAAUAAUGAGGGGAAAGUCCUGUGGAAACUAAUAAUUUUUUAAUUAUUAUUUAUUGAAUAGCACCUUUGAAUAUGUAUAGCACAUCUUUCUAUAGUGGCCUCAAAACAUUUCAGAACCUCAGUCGUACAGUGGUGCCAGCAGAUGAAAAUGUUUUGACAAGAUUUGCUGAAGUGAAAGGAAUGAACAUCAAAUGGGAAUUGGUUGGCUGAGCGUGUUGCUUCACAUGGGUGAUUGAAUUAGAGAUGGAGGAGUGUUUUUCUGGAGUUUCGAAGGUUUUAUGAGUGGUUGAAAAACCCAGCGAAACAAUCUACCAACAACUCUGAUUUAUGUAACAGUGGAAAAGAGGAAAAUUACUUUCUUCCUCCUGKUUUUUUCUGUGUUUUUUCAAGCCAAGUAGGGUGUGGUUGGACUGUGUGGAAGGCAGAAUUCCCAGCCCUGCCGUACAAAAGCACGUUAGUCAUCUGAAGGGUGGAUAGGGCAGAGCACUGCAGUUAUUUGRAGGGUGGUUUGAUGGUUCUUCUCUUAACACAGAGCUUUUCCCAUUUCUUUUGCAGUAUUCAGGGUGUUAAUCCCAAAUGGUCUGGCCAAAUUCCAGCCUGACCAAUUCCAUUCCAUUGACGCAACUUCUCCUGGCGAUUUUGAGCAUAUCAGCAUUGCUGACUUAUCCUGAGCUAUUGUGAGAGGCUGUUUUUAAAGAACAGCUGUUUCACUGGUGGCUGAGGUAUCUGGAGAAAUUCCUUGCAAGCCCAGGCCAAAUAACUUYGUGUCUGCUGUGCAUUUGAGAUCUUGGAGUGCAAAGUGGCCAUUUCACUGCAGGUGGCUGAGAGCUGCGUAAAAUUAAGUUCAUUGAGCAGUGUCUGUGUCAGGCAGGAGCCCAAUAUGUGAGUCUUAAAGAGGGAGUGUGAGCUGCAUAUUCUCUAAAAACGGUAGUUCUGUUUAGAGGAGACAAUGCAGGAAAUGUGGAAUGAAGUUUCUUCAAGUGCCUCAGUCCUAUUGGCAUUUUCCUGUGUUAUUUAGGGUCUUCUGAGGUUCCUCAAAAUCUUGACAAUGUUUAGCCUUUGUUUAUUGUUCACCUGUUGUUCUUGGAAAGACAUCAUAAGGAGUAAUGAACUCAACCUCAUUACAUCCUUCUGAGGGAGAGAAAUGUCUCCUUUCAAAACAGACACAAACGAGUUGGGUUUGUUAUUGUCUUUUGUUGCUGGUGAGAGGAAUGGCGUCAUGAUUAGCAGGGRCAGGCCACAGCAGAAAAUGUUCAGUGCUGACCUAGGCUUCCUUAGGAAAUGGGGACUCAUCCAUCCUGUCUAAACAUUGCAAGACUUGUUUUCCACUUUAUGUCAAAGAGCUGCUGUUAAACUGCACAAAAUAGGGGCAAACUGGAUGAGAACUGAGCCGUAAGAAAGAACAGGAAGGUCUGUGCUCUGCUAAGGUGGUGUUCCUUGAGUGUAUUAUGGAGUUUGGGGUGAUCCAGGCAUGGCAGCCUGGCCCAUGGAGAGUAUGGGGCAGCUUUUCCUCUCUGGAGUAGUUUUCCCCUCCAUUCUGUAUUAAGUUUGUCUCCACCCAACAGAUGGCAAAGCUGGAGUUUAAGUUGUGCCUGUCUGGCCAGGCUGUAGAAGAGACACUCCCUGGUCAGAGAGAGAGCUUUGGGCUGUGAGUCACAAAUGUUGCAGGCCCGUAAAGGCAUCUGGGCUUCCAUGAGGGGGAGAAAGACAUGACAACCUCAACAAUAUCAGGAGCUGUAUCCAGCAGUUGCUUCAUCUCUCAGCUCUGAUCAGCAGCAUCUGUCCCUCAUAGAUUCCUCAUGUGCGCUUUGCUGGGGAAAGGACCAUAAGAGGAAUGAAUGUUGUUUUCYCUUUGGGAUUGAGGCUGAAUGAAGCACUAGGAGGACAGGUCUUAUUUCUCCUGCUGCUYUGGCAAAACACACUAUUAGGAGCUAAAUUUCUUAGAAUUAGAGAGCAGGAGAUGGGAGAGAUCCGUGUCACCUUGUUUUCCCAUGUGCUGGGACAGAUUUCCUCUUGGAAGCUGCGUGCUCCCGUUCAGUGUGAAGUGACUCGAGGCGGCGAGUGCCUCGCUGUGAGACUUGGCCGAUUUUGGCCGCUGGGAUUUCUUUCCAAGCUAAUCCUAUCACCAGGGAUUUGCCUGCAGUUCACCUCACAAGCUGCUCAGCAGUUACGUUUGUUUUCUUCCAGUGCCUUUUACCAYCAGAACGUCCAAAAGCUCCUUAGCAGGCAGAGCACUGGCGAGGAGUUGUGCCGUGGUUGUUUGUGGUUUCACCAUGGCACUGACCGGACUCRGACAUGCAAGAUCUGUGAGGACAACGCUGUUUCCUGCAGUGCUGACUGGCUCACCGAGUUCCUAGGACAGUCCUGUUCUCAGGRUGCCCAUCCAGAGUUGCACAGCAUCAUUUUUGACAACAAAUGAAUGUUUUACAGUCAGAACUGGAAUGGAUCGUAUUUAAUUAGGAUUUAAGUUUCUCUUGUGAUGUAGAAACUGUAACUGUGGCAUUUUGCUGUGUUGUCUGAGUGGAUCUUUUGCAGCUGCUGUUUUCUGAAAGCAUCCGAGCACAACAUACGCAGUGGGUGCCUACCUUUGAGACAAGCCUGCCCUGACCCCGAGGGGAGGGCGGAUUCACGCCGUUGUCACCCGGAAAGCGCCGGGAGAGCCCCGUGGGGGACCGGGACAGAGAGGGACUGUCACUAACUCAUCAUUGCCCUAACUCUCGCCCUCGGAGGACACCAGUCAUGGGGG
RNA transcript from Malurus melanocephalus (red-backed fairy wren), 4700 nucleotides. It is a transcript of the gene named solute carrier family 25 member 19, with no coding region annotated. Lineage: Eukaryota; Metazoa; Chordata; Aves; Passeriformes; Maluridae. The transcript is spliced from 8 exons. The record is from RefSeq and is a predicted model, not a curated record.